CCUACGGGAGGCAGCAGUGGGGGAUAUUGCACAAUGGGGGGAACCCUGAUGCAGCGACGCCGCGUGGGUGAAGGAGUGCUUCGGCAUGUAAAGCCCUAUCGGCAGGGAAGAAGCAAGACGGUACCUGACUAAGAAGCCCCGGCUAACUACGUGCCAGCAGCCGCGGUAAUACGUAGGGGGCGAGCGUUAUCCGGAUUCACUGGGUGUAAAGGGAGCGUAGACGGCCAUGCAAGCCAGGGGUGAAAGCCCGGGGCCCAACCCCGGGACUGCCCUUGGAACUGCAUGGCUGGAGUGCGGGAGGGGCAGGCGGAAUUCCUGGUGUAGCGGUGAAAUGCGGAGAUAUCAGGAGGAACACCGGCGGCGAAGGCGGCCUGCUGGACUGCGACUGACGUUGAGGCUCGAAAGCGUGGGGAGCAAACAGGAUUAGAUACCCCAGUAGUC
This 441-nucleotide ribosomal RNA is filed under the name uncultured bacterium. RNAcentral describes it as "partial 16S ribosomal RNA". It matches the Rfam family "Bacterial small subunit ribosomal RNA", at positions 338 to 795 of the family's 1533-position model. The record is from RNAcentral.